Pyrus x bretschneideri (Chinese white pear) is the source of this 845-nucleotide long non-coding RNA. RefSeq lists it as uncharacterized. Lineage: Eukaryota; Viridiplantae; Streptophyta; Magnoliopsida; Rosales; Rosaceae. The record is from RefSeq and is a predicted model, not a curated record. The transcript has 4 exons.
CUUAAUCAGCACGUUGUAGAAAUAUUAAACCACCCAUCGCCUCUCUCCAUCCAUGACUCCUCACCUCACCACCACCACCAAUUUCUUCCCCUCAUGAUGUCGCCCACUCAAAAACCUCCCACUCUCCUCUUGCAACAGCAUCAGCAACCCAACAAAUCAACCCCAACACAACCUCCAUGCGCUCUCCUCCGCAGCCUCAUCGCAACGGCGGCGACCAUCCCUUCCACUCCACCGUGUCGCUCCGGAAACUGAGGCGCUUCAGCUGGAACGAACAGAUUUGUAGUGGAAGCGAAUGCAAUAAUGGUGCUACACUCUUUUCGCCGAGGUCGUCCACCUAUGGUUCGAUUGGCCAUGACCAGAAAAUUGGAGUCUGCUACGCUUUUGUUGAAUAUGAAGACAUUGCUGGCGUUCACAAUGCACUCAAGGUUUGAUUUUUUUGUGGCAUCUCCAAUUCAUUUAGCUGGAAGGCAAGUUUGCACUGAGAGUGGAGCCCAAACAGCGCUGGAGUAGCAGCUCGAAGAUGUGAAUUAUUCAACCCGGAGGAUGGGGCAGUGGCAGCAGCGGUUAUCAAAUUACGAAUUUUUGUCAUACAAUUCAAGGAAAAGUGAAGUCUUUUAAGUGAUAAUUUGUUUGUAAAUGGAGGCGUAUAUCAUACUUGAUAGAUAGUUUCAUAUUUCUUAGGAUAGCUCAUUGAUUUUAAAUGUGAUUUUUUAAUGUAAUUAUUAUAUUGUAGUAAAUAUGUAAACUAUGAUAUACAAGACUGACCAACUAAAUAACUUCAAUGUCCAACUGUCGCGCUUGUCUUGCGACCUGUAACUUUGUAGUUGGAGCCUGCUAUACCCAUA